RNAcentral lists this ribosomal RNA (225 nucleotides) under Salmonella enterica subsp. enterica serovar Weltevreden. Its description in RNAcentral is "partial 23S ribosomal RNA". It matches the Rfam family "Bacterial large subunit ribosomal RNA", at positions 1125 to 1348 of the family's 2925-position model. Lineage: Bacteria; Pseudomonadati; Pseudomonadota; Gammaproteobacteria; Enterobacterales; Enterobacteriaceae. The record is from RNAcentral.
AAAGAAAGCGUAAUAGCUCACUGGUCGAGUCGGCCUGCGCGGAAGAUGUAACGGGGCUAAACCAUGCACCGAAGCUGCGGCAGCGACGCUUAUGCGUUGUUGGGUAGGGGAGCGUUCUGUAAGCCUGUGAAGGUGGCCUGUGAGGGUUGCUGGAGGUAUCAGAAGUGCGAAUGCUGACAUAAGUAACGAUAAAGCGGGUGAAAAGCACGCGCGCCGGAAGACCAA